Molecule: long non-coding RNA, 778 nt
Organism: Lotus japonicus
Lineage: Eukaryota; Viridiplantae; Streptophyta; Magnoliopsida; Fabales; Fabaceae
Exons: 2
Source: RefSeq, a predicted model, not a curated record
UCUAAGAGACUAGUUCAUUGUUUAGGCGAUUCAAAAGUUGAAUUGUUUGUGAUCAAUAUUGAAAGAAGCAAAUAAAUUAGUAAAACUAAAUGAGAAAGCAUCAAGGUUAUGACAUUCAGGUUCCCUAGUUGUAUUUUAACUAAUGAAUCCCGCCAUUGCCAAUUGCCCAAUUAUACUUCUCAAGUUGCCAAAUUGGAGACAACCGUUGACUAGCUAACAGUCGUACCUCAAAUUCACUCCCUAAAGCAACCAUCAUUGGAAGCGUUAGCUUGAAAUAGGCCUGAAGUGUUGAGAAGUUGUCUUCCUAAGGGAUGUUUCACAGUCCAGCCUUUUCUGGACGAAUUGGAAAUAUUGAAAAACCUAAUCCUAACACCCCGGACGGGCUAAGAGUGACCCGCCUAAUGCUCAGUUCUCUCCCAGUUUCUGUCAGCAUCCAAUUUAUAACAUUGUUCGAUGAAUGCUGCAUAUAUACACAUGAGGGUUUUGAAGCAGCUGUGGCAGCUGGUUCUUGUGCUAGAUAAGUAGCACUUUUUGCAUCAGCUGCUUCUGAAUCAUCUUCAAAAUCAAAUAUUAACUGCUGCGUUGUAGAUAGUCUUGCUCGUUAUAGAGCUGUUACUCGUAUUCAAUUCCUGUUCGAGGGUAUGCCUUUUAUUUUGCUUUAUAUAACUGUUUGUGUUUAGUUUUGGUUCUUCAUGAAUCCAAGGAUUUUAUUGGUUAUACUGUAACUUUGUUGAGUGUCUAAUGCAAAGUGCCAAGUAUGGUGUACCCAAAAGUAAAA